GAUGAAGAACGUAGAGAAAUGCGAUAAGUAGUGUGAAUUGCAGAAUUCAGUGAAUCAUCGAAUCUUUGAACGCACAUUGCGCCCCUUGGUAUUCCAUGGGGCAUGCCUGUUCGAGCGUCAUUUGUACCCUCCAGCCCUGCUGGGUAUUGGGCGUUUUGUUCCGCUACGCGCGUGAACUCGCCUCAAAUGCAUUGGCAGCCCGCCGUCCCGUGUGGGAGCGCAGCACAUUUUGCGCUCUCCGCUGCUGACGGUGGCAUCCACAAGUCUACCAUUUUACGCUUGACCUCGGAUCAGGUAGGGAUACCCGCUGAACUUAAGCAUAUCAAUAAGCGGAGGA
RNAcentral lists this unclassified non-coding RNA (337 nucleotides) under soil metagenome. RNAcentral's name for it is "partial contains 5.8S ribosomal RNA, internal transcribed spacer 2, and large subunit ribosomal RNA". The stretch from base 1 to 120 matches the Rfam family "5.8S ribosomal RNA", at positions 35 to 154 of the family's 154-position model. The record is from RNAcentral.